Molecule: unclassified non-coding RNA, 378 nt
Filed under: plant metagenome
Description: partial contains 5.8S ribosomal RNA, internal transcribed spacer 2, and large subunit ribosomal RNA
Rfam family: 5.8S ribosomal RNA (bases 1-105)
Source: RNAcentral
GAAAUGCGAUAAGUAAUGUGAAUUGCAGAAUUCAGUGAAUCAUCGAAUCUUUGAACGCACCUUGCGCUCCUUGGUAUUCCUUGGAGCAUGCCUGUUUGAGUAUCAUGAAAUCUUCAAAGUAAAUCUUUUGUUAACUCAAUUGGUUUCUACUUUGGUAUUGGAGGUCUUUGCAGCUUCACACCUGCUCCUCUUUGUUCAUUAGCUGGAUCUCAGUGUUAUGCUUGGUUCCACUCGGCGUGAUAAGUUAUCUAUCGCUGAGGACACUGUAAAAGGUGGCCAAGGUAAAUGCAGAUGAACCUCUUCUAAUAGUCCAUUGACUUGGACAAUACUUUUAUGAUCUGAUCUAAAAUCAGGUAGGACUACCCGCUGAACUUAAGC